AUGUAUUUGUCUAUCAGUGAGUAUUAUUCAGUCCUGCCAUUUGUAACAACGUGAGUAGGACAGCAAGCUGAGUAAGCUCAGCCAGACACAGUAUGCUGUCUGAUCUUACCUGAGGAAGCUAAGACAGUGAAAUAGGUGGGCAUGGAAAAUAGAACCUUGCUUCCCAGGGGCAGGGGGAAUGGAGAAAUGCUGCUCAAAGAGUACAAAGCUUCGUUGAUGUGAGCAGAGUUAAGUUCUGAAGAGCUGGUACACAGCCUGUGGAUUGACAGUUUGUAAUGCUGUGCUUUCUACUUGGAGUUUGCCAGGAGAGUAGUUCUCAACAUACACCUACAGAGCCUUAGCUAUGUGGAAAGACAUGUUAAUGAGCUUGACUCUGGUGAGCAGCAUUUGUAGAUAGAACUGUUGUCCUGUACACUUUCGGUAUGAAAUCCAGUAGCCAAAGAGGAACCCACAUUUGCCUUCUGUGUGUACAAAACAGAUCGGUGUGGCUCAGUUGGGGAAAUAAUGGGAGUGGUGCUGGUCAGUCCCUGUGCGGUGGGAGGUUGGCUCUUUGGGGUGAAGGUUACUAAGUCAGAUCACGUUUAUACCACACAGAGGGAUCUGGCUCCUCUGGGUCCACUCUGUGUCUUCCAAAGAAUCCCUUUCUGUUGCUGUGUAGACCUUCCCUGAGCCUCAUGUCUUGGUCAGGGGCCAUGUUUCAAGUCUUGGUCUCCAGAGAUUUGAACAUCAGGGACAGUUGGUUUGU
This is a long non-coding RNA of Ochotona curzoniae (black-lipped pika), 745 nucleotides long. RefSeq lists it as uncharacterized. The record is from RefSeq and is a predicted model, not a curated record. NCBI's taxonomy places the organism in Eukaryota, Metazoa, Chordata, Mammalia, Lagomorpha, Ochotonidae. The transcript has 3 exons.